UGCCAGCAGCCGCGGUAAUACGGAGGGUCCGAGCGUUAAUCGGAAUUGCUGGGCGUAAAGCGCGCGUAGGCGGCUUGGUCAGUCGAAUGUGAAAGCCCCGGGCUUAACCUGGGAAUUGCAUCCGAUACUGCCUGGCUAGAAUAUGGGAGAGGGAAGUGGAAUUUCCGGUGUAGCGGUGAUAUGCGUAGAUAUCGGAAGGAACACCAGUGGCGAGGGCGACUUCCUGGCCCAAUAUUGACGCUGAGGUGCGAAAGCGUGGGUAGCAAACAGGAUUAGAUA
This 279-nucleotide ribosomal RNA is filed under the name uncultured bacterium. RNAcentral's name for it is "partial 16S ribosomal RNA". It matches the Rfam family "Bacterial small subunit ribosomal RNA", at positions 506 to 784 of the family's 1533-position model. The record is from RNAcentral.